GUAACCAGACAUGUAGGCUUCUUGCUAAGCCCACUCCCACCAGCUGCACGGUCUAUUGAUAAGCAUACGCUUUUAGCUCUUGAGAAAUUCACAUAAACCACCACUGCUAACAAUUUUAUGUUUGAUGCACAGCUUCUUUUCACAAAGUAGAGAUAGAAGAGUUCGAAGGGAAGGUGGAAGAGACAGGCAGUCAGUGUAAAGAAAGUUUUUUAUGGUUCACUGAGGGCAACCCCUUCACAAUCCAGAACCUGAAGACUGGAUCUUCUGAGAACAUCAGAGAAAGACUGUCAUUGCCAUCCACACUACAGCAAAACUUUGGAGCCUUGAACAUUGGGUUCAUAAUCUCACAACUAAGAAAGGUCUUUUCAUACUCCUGGAACUGUACACCCAUUGGAAUGUUUAAGGUAAAACUAACCAGGAAAGUUUCUCCUCAGAAAAGAUGGCAUCCUUCAUGUGAACAGCCUUUCCCAAGAUCAUGGAUCAAAAUAUGUACUAUCACAAGACUCCUAUUUUUGAGUAUUUUUCCUUGUUUACACCUCUAUGAACAAUAGAAAUGAAAGGGGGAUCUAUUAUGUGAAUUUAUAGGGAAUGCUUUUAUUUGUGAAGGAUUUUAUAGCCAGCCUUAUACAUGAAUAAUAUUAUGCUUUUAAUAGAUAAAACAUGAAGCCGCAGUGUAGGUGAGAAACUUUAUUGGUAUAUACGUUGCCUCAUAAUCAGUCAAAAUUCCUCUUAAGCCACAUCCCGGAUUAAAGAGAACGUUGCCAGGAGGCCUUCAGUCUUCUAGGACAUCAUUUGUUAGGUCCUUUUCCCAUGGUUUAGAAUAAACGAGGUGAUAAUUAGAAAUGUCUCGCUCAUAACAGGUUCUACAGCAAAUUCUACCUUAAAGGCUAUUGCUACACAACAGACUUUAAAAUCUCUUGUGAAAGUUCUGCUAAAGAAUAGAAUUGGCUAAACAAAAAGUACCUGUGCAGCUGCUGAAACUUGCGACCUGUGGAGAAAUCCAUCAAAUGUAGGUUAUAAAGAUUCAGCUGCAGGGGAAUUAAUGAAAAGACCACUUAAUCAAGUGAGUAGACUCUUCAUCUAGCUCAUUCUUUUAUCUAUUUAAUUUUACAUAGUUUGGUUCAUGGGGACCCUGGGUAAGGAGCAUACUCCAAACUCUUGGUAUUAUUCUCCCAAUGGUCAUAAUUAUAGUCUCCCUGGCAUGCUGUAUUCUCUCAAAGGUUUUAAAUGUUUGCAUGCAGCCAUCUUCAGAAUAUCAAAUGGUCUCUCUUCAACUGGAAUGACAGAAGCUGAAAGAAAUGUGCAACCAUGAGGACACCAUAACCUAUGAAUGGCAUGCUGAGGCCAGAAAUGCAAAAUGAUGGUAACCGAGAGUGGGUUUAACGCCCUAAGUUUUGGUUACACUUUCGCCUAAGUGAGAACCUGGCCAAAAUGGGAGAAUUUUUUUAAACAAAAUUAUGAGAGGUCAUUAUUUUGGACUGAGCUUAUGCACUAGGCCCCAACAAACCAAACCAAACUAAAAUGGAGUCACUCAUGCUAAAUGUGACAUAAUCAAACUACGGCUUCAGGAAAACACAUAAAUCCUAGAACAGACCAGAUUUUGUAUUUUCUCCUGAAAACAGGAUGUUCCAGCUUAAGGAGGUACCCUCUCUCUCCUCAGUCCUUAUUCCCUCCUCGCAAAACCCACUGUUCUACUGUUUUUCAGUGGGUUUCAAAACCAUAUAAGUACAUUUACAAUAGUGAUAGCCACAACCAUGACUAAGGUUUUGGUCAAUCUCUCAAAACUGAGAAAAUGACCAAAAGGGAAAAAUCGUUGAAGGAAAUUAAAUAUGGUCUGAGAAGGACUCUGUACUUCUGUAUUUGAGUCCUUCUGGAUGAAGUGCAUCCUAGCUUAGUAGUCAGACAAAAUUGAAAACUUAAUAGUAUGCACCCAUAACAAUAGCUGAGUGUUGGCCAAUCAUAACGGCCAUACUUCAUCCACUCAUAGACUGCUGAGUGUCCAAACUAUUCAAAUAAGGCAAACGCUGAGCUGUAACCAACGUUGCUGUUUCUGUACCUCAGUUCUGAUUCCUGAACGUCACUUUAACUUUUCUGUCUAUAAAUGUGUUCUGACCACGAGGCAUCCCUGGAAUCUCUGUGAAUCUGCUGUAAUUCAGGGGGCUGCACGAUUUGCAAAUCCUUCAUUGCUC
RNAcentral lists this long non-coding RNA (2189 nucleotides) under Callithrix jacchus (white-tufted-ear marmoset). RNAcentral's name for it is "lncRNA (ENSCJAG00000079602.1)". The record is from RNAcentral. Lineage: Eukaryota; Metazoa; Chordata; Mammalia; Primates; Cebidae.